UCCUAACACAUGCAAGUCGAACGAACUCUUCGGAGUUAGUGGCGGACGGGUGAGUAACACGUGGGAACGUGCCUUUAGGUUCGGAAUAACUCAGGGAAACUUGUGCUAAUACCGAAUGUGCCCUUCGGGGGAAAGAUUUAUCGCCUUUAGAGCGGCCCGCGUCUGAUUAGCUAGUUGGUGAGGUAAAGGCUCACCAAGGCGACGAUCAGUAGCUGGUCUGAGAGGAUGAUCAGCCACAUUGGGACUGAGACACGGCCCAAACUCCUACGGGAGGCAGCAGUGGGGAAUCUUGCGCAAUGGGCGAAAGCCUGACGCAGCCAUGCCGCGUGAAUGAUGAAGGUCUUAGGAUUGUAAAAUUCUUUCACCGGGGACGAUAAUGACGGUACCCGGAGAAGAAGCCCCGGCUAACUUCGUGCCAGCAGCCGCGGUAAUACGAAGGGGGCUAGCGUUGCUCGGAAUUACUGGGCGUAAAGGGAGCGUAGGCGGACAUUUAAGUCAGGGGUGAAAUCCCGGGGCUCAACCUCGGAAUUGCCUUUGAUACUGGGGUGUCUUGAGUAUGAGAGAGGUGUGUGGAACUCCGAGUGUAGAGGUGAAAUUCGU
RNAcentral lists this ribosomal RNA (600 nucleotides) under uncultured bacterium. RNAcentral describes it as "bacterial SSU rRNA". It matches the Rfam family "Bacterial small subunit ribosomal RNA", at positions 46 to 691 of the family's 1533-position model. The record is from RNAcentral.